This 492-nucleotide ribosomal RNA is filed under the name uncultured bacterium. Its description in RNAcentral is "partial 16S ribosomal RNA". It matches the Rfam family "Bacterial small subunit ribosomal RNA", at positions 29 to 507 of the family's 1533-position model. The record is from RNAcentral.
AGUGAACGCUGGCGGUAGGCCUAACACAUGCAAGUCGAACGGCAGCACAGUAAGAGCUUGCUCUUACGGGUGGCGAGUGGCGGACGGGUGAGGAAUACAUCGGAAUCUGCUUUUUCGUGGGGGAUAACGUAGGGAAACUUACGCUAAUACCGCAUACGACCUACGGGUGAAAGCAGGGGAUCUUCGGACCUUGCGCGAGUGAAUGAGCCGAUGUCGGAUUAGCUAGUUGGCGGGGUAAAGGCCCACCAAGGCGACGAUCCGUAGCUGGUCUGAGAGGAUGAUCAGCCACACUGGAGCUGAGACACGGUCCAGCCUCCUACGGGAGGCAGCAGUGGGGAAUAUUGGACAAUGGGCGCAAGCCUGAUCCAGCCAUACCGCGUGGGUGAAGAAGGCCUUCGGGUUGUAAAGCCCUUUUGUUGGGAAAGAAAAGCAGCAGGUUAAUACCCCGCUGUUCUGACGGUACCCAAAGAAUAAGCACCGGCUAACUUCGUG